UGGCUACAAAAUAACUUAUUUUGUAGCCACUUUGAGUUACGAUAAUUAUUAUAUUAAUUUAUAAGAUUAUAGUAACUCCUUACUAAGUGGUUUAUUAUAACAUUAGUGGUUUAUUAUAACAUUACGGUAAAUAUCCUCAUGUGUUAUAGUAAUCCAACUAUCGUAAAUAUGUAUACAUAUUAUCGUAAAUUAGUAUAUAAAAUUAUCGUAAAUGGAGGUGGCUACAGAAUAACAUAUUUUGUAGCUA
RNAcentral lists this microRNA precursor (247 nucleotides) under Sorghum bicolor (sorghum). Its description in RNAcentral is "MIR6217 microRNA precursor family". It matches the Rfam family "MIR6217 microRNA precursor family". The record is from Rfam by way of RNAcentral. Lineage: Eukaryota; Viridiplantae; Streptophyta; Magnoliopsida; Poales; Poaceae.